RNAcentral lists this ribosomal RNA (417 nucleotides) under Triticum aestivum (bread wheat). RNAcentral describes it as "partial small subunit ribosomal RNA". The record is from RNAcentral. Lineage: Eukaryota; Viridiplantae; Streptophyta; Magnoliopsida; Poales; Poaceae.
AUGGCAAAUUUUCGGGGAGUGCACGGUGAUCUCCCUUGCCAGUAUCUUGGACUGCCUCUAGGGGUACGAAAGCCAAAGAGAGUGCAGGUGCAACCGCUGAUUGAUAAGAUAGCUGGGAAGCUGACGCCCAGGAAAGAAAGAUACCUAAACAGAAUGGGAAGACUGGUGUAUACCAAUUCGGUGGUCACGGCUACAGCAACUUUUUUUCUGACGACCUUCUCACCGGACAAGUGGUUUAUAAAAAAGGUGGACAAAACUACGAAUUUUUUUCCUCUAGGAGGCAGAGGACAAAACAAUAGGGGGAAAGAGUCUGGUAAACUGGAAACAAGUGUGCUCACCGAAGCAAUAUGGAGGGCUCGGGAUCAAAAACAUCGAGUGUUUCAGCAGGGCCUUAAGGCUGCGAUGGGAGUGGUUUAG